RNAcentral lists this ribosomal RNA (497 nucleotides) under uncultured bacterium. RNAcentral's name for it is "partial 16S ribosomal RNA". It matches the Rfam family "Bacterial small subunit ribosomal RNA", at positions 28 to 507 of the family's 1533-position model. The record is from RNAcentral.
GACGAACGCUGGCGGCGUGCCUAAUACAUGCAAGUUGAGCGAUGAAGAUUGGUGCUUGCACCAAUUUGAAGAGCAGCGAACGGGUGAGUAACGCGUGGGGAAUCUGCCUUUGAGCGGGGGACAACAUUUGGAAACGAAUGCUAAUACCGCAUAACAACUUUAAACAUAAGUUUUAAGUUUGAAAGAUGCAAUUGCAUCACUCAAAGAUGAUCCCGCGUUGUAUUAGCUAGUUGGUGAGGUAAAGGCUCACCAAGGCGAUGAUACAUAGCCGACCUGAGAGGGUGAUCGGCCACAUUGGGACUGAGACACGGCCCAAACUCCUACGGGAGGGAGCAGUAGGGAAUCGUCGGCAAUGGACGGAAGUCUGACCGAACAACGCCGCGUGAGUGAAGAAGGUUUUCGGAUCGUAAAACUCGGUUGGUAGAGAAGAACGUUGGUGAGAGUGGAAAGCUCAUCAAGUGACGGUAACUACCCAGAAAGGAACGGCUAACUACGUG